CGUAAAGCGAUGACUGGGCCAAGUAUUCCGUACAGCAGUGUCAGCGAGUUAGGGUGGGUGUGAGCCUAAUCUCUGCAGCGGACGAAAAUCCCCCAGGAGCGUCUCUUGAAAAGCGAAGUAGAGAGCAUCGGGUAAUUCCGUUAUCGAUUCGUCGAGUGAGACUGACAACCGGUCGUCAUUUCUUUCAUGCGGGAACCGGAUUUCUGUUUGAGGGGAUGGCAGCGGGCCGGAACGGUCUAACAAGGGUGGUACCGCGAGCUUAACUUCUCGUCCCUUUU
This 278-nucleotide non-coding RNA is filed under the name Paenibacillus sp. Its description in RNAcentral is "T-box sequence". It matches the Rfam family "T-box leader". From Rfam's summary of the family: Uncharged tRNA acts as the effector for transcription antitermination of genes in the T-box leader family. T-boxes are found upstream of many aminoacyl-tRNA synthetase genes and some amino acid biosynthetic genes usually in Gram-positive bacteria. The record is from RNAcentral. Lineage: Bacteria; Bacillati; Bacillota; Bacilli; Caryophanales; Paenibacillaceae.